This 275-nucleotide ribosomal RNA is filed under the name uncultured prokaryote. Its description in RNAcentral is "partial 16S ribosomal RNA". It matches the Rfam family "Bacterial small subunit ribosomal RNA", at positions 524 to 798 of the family's 1533-position model. The record is from RNAcentral.
UACGUAGGGGGCAAGCGUUAUCCGGAUUUACUGGGUGUAAAGGGAGCGCAGACGGCAGUGCAAGUCUGAUGUGAAAGCCCGGGGCUCAACCCCGGAACUGCAUUGGAAACUGUACAGCUUGAGUGUCGGAGGGGUAAGCGGAAUUCCUAGUGUAGCGGUGAAAUGCGUAGAUAUUAGGAGGAACACCGGUGGCGAAGGCGGCUUACUGGACGAUCACUGACGUUGAGGCUCGAAAGCGUGGGGAGCAAACAGGAUUAGAUACCCUGGUAGUCCCU